CUAACAAUUCUGGAGACCAAAUACUUUAUCUAGGUACAGCACAAGUGAGUGAGAGGAGAGCCAACUUCCUGUACACUGUCCUGCCAAGAAAUCUUCAUGCUGAUCUGGAGAAAGGAACCUCUAGGCAUGGCAGAAAAGUUGGCUCUCCAUAGUCCAUUCAGUCCUCAGUUUUU
Molecule: unclassified non-coding RNA, 173 nt
Organism: Calidris pygmaea (Spoon-billed sandpiper)
Lineage: Eukaryota; Metazoa; Chordata; Aves; Charadriiformes; Scolopacidae
Source: Ensembl